AUCUGACUGACGAGUCCCGAAUAGAACGAAACGCGCGUCCUGGAU
This 45-nucleotide non-coding RNA is filed under the name Schistosoma mansoni. The record is from RNAcentral. Lineage: Eukaryota; Metazoa; Platyhelminthes; Trematoda; Strigeidida; Schistosomatidae.